CGAAAGUUUAGCUCGGCCCAGAAGGGUUUGUUUACCAUCCUGCCGGAGCUUUCCGCAGUCGGACUCGACCACUGGACACCCUGGGGGAGUAGCAAGAGGGACAGGACACGGCGUGCCUCUCUUCGCGAGAAGUCGAUUCAUCGUCCACUGCGGUGAAUCCAAAACCACGGAGCUGUGCCGGAAGGGAUCCGAUCCCCAAGCAAAUGUCUGGACUAACUCUCGUUUCACAAAUUAGUCAACACCGCUGGUGUUUUAGCAUAUAGCAUGGCUGGACAGCUGGAGAUGGUGGUGCGCAGCUUGGCCAUCGGUUCGAGUUGAGGACAGCUCUGAAGCUGGGUGACAGGCUUGAACAAUGGAAUUGGUGAAACGAUUACCCGGAGUGGACCAAGAUCAACCCGACUGGCCAAGAUCGCGCCAAGAGUGGUUUUAAAUUAAAGCUAGUGCUACGGCUUAAAAUAAAUACAUAGGUUUUAUGUUUACUCGCUUCAACAUAUCGCGCAUCUUAAAAACAACUUUAAUAAUUAUGAAAUAAAUCUGUUUUCAGGGGAUUGUA
This is a long non-coding RNA of Drosophila ficusphila, 553 nucleotides long. RefSeq lists it as uncharacterized. NCBI's taxonomy places the organism in Eukaryota, Metazoa, Arthropoda, Insecta, Diptera, Drosophilidae. The transcript is spliced from 2 exons. The record is from RefSeq and is a predicted model, not a curated record.